RNAcentral lists this long non-coding RNA (352 nucleotides) under Pan troglodytes (chimpanzee). RNAcentral describes it as "long non-coding RNA NONPTRT000353". Lineage: Eukaryota; Metazoa; Chordata; Mammalia; Primates; Hominidae. The record is from RNAcentral.
CUUUGCUACCUUCAAGGACCUUCUCCCAAACUGCUAAUUUUUCUUCAUCCGUUAAAGGUCUAUUGAUUCACAUUACUUGCUGGCAGUGUGUGAAGUCAACGAACAAGACUGAGUCUUUGCCCUUGAGACGCGUACACUCUACCCAGAGACAAGUUCUAAGCACAGGAAACAAGUAAUUUUAUAAGAACAUCACAGGGCAGUUAUUCUCCAGGUGAAUUCGGAUUAAAGAGGACACUUGAGCCGGAUUUGGAGGAAGAGAGCCAUGGUUUGGAAUAGAACAUGAACGAGUGCAGAGGAGUGGAAAUUACCACAGUUUGUUCUGAAGACUGGAUACAGCGGCACCUUCCUGGAG